AUGGGGAGGGCGCCCCGCGGCAGCCGCGCCCCGCUCCUCGACCACGGGGAGACGGCGAGGGUUCCCUCGGACCUCGAGGAGGGCAGCAACGUCCAGGCGGCGAAUGUGGGGUUCUGCCGGGUCAUCAAAUUGGCAAAGCCCGACGCGUGGAAGCUCAUCUUUGCCACCACCGCGCUCAUCAUCGCCUCCCUCAGUAACCUCCUCGUUCCCAAAUAUGGCGGCAAGAUAAUCGAUAUUGUGUCAAGAGAUGUUCGGCUGCCAGAAGAUAGGGCUCAAGCCCUGGCGGAUGUGAAUGGCACCAUAUUGUACAUUGUGCUAAUAGUUGUAACCGGGUCAGCUUGCACAGCUCUUCGGGCAUGGGUGUUCAAUUCUGCUAGCGAGAGAGUUGUGGCUCGACUCAGACAUGACUUGUUCAGUCAUCUCAUAAACCAGGAGAUAGCAUUUUUUGAUGUGACCAGAACAGGGGAGCUCUUAAGCAGGCUUUCUGAAGACACCCAAAUCAUAAAGAAUGCCGCUACGACAAACCUUUCGGAAGCGCUGCGCAAUCUGACUACCACGGCUAUUGGUCUUGGCUUCAUGUUCUCAACUUCAUGGAAGCUAACAUUGUUGUCACUUGCAAUUGUUCCGGUGAUAUCGGCUGUCGUGCGUAAAUUCGGGCGUUUUCUUCGUGAGCUUUCACAUCAGACACAAGCUGCAGCUGCUGUUGCUUCAUCCAUAGCUGAGGAAUCCUUUGGUGCCAUCCGCACGGUAAGAGCCUUUGCUCAGGAGCCUCAUGAGAUUUCACGAUAUAGCGGAAAAGUAAAUGAGACACUGAAACUUGGUCUCAAGCAAGCUAAAGUUGUUGGCCUAUUUUCCGGAGGGCUUAAUGCUGCAUCAACCCUGUCGGUUGUUAUUGUUGUUAUUUAUGGAGCUAAAUUAACCAUCAAUGGUUACAUGACAACUGGUGCUCUUACGUCAUUCAUCUUAUACAGCCUUACAGUUGGUUCGUCAGUCUCUGCCUUGUCAGGAUUAUACACAACUGUAAUGAAAGCAUCAGGUUCAAGCCGUAGAGUUUUUCAACUUCUUGACCGUAUUUCCUCGAUGAAAAACUCUGGGGACAAAUGUCCAAAAAAUGAAAAUGAUGGGGAGGUUGAGUUAGACGAUGUCUGGUUUGCAUAUCCUUCUCGUCGUUCUCAUCUGAUUCUUAAGGGAAUCACAUUGAAGCUAGCACCAGGCUCAAAGGUUGCACUUGUUGGGCCAAGUGGUGGUGGAAAAACUACAAUAGCAAAUUUGAUCGAAAGGUUUUACGACCCUAUAAAGGGAAGGAUCUUGCUAAAUGGAGUGCCUCUGGUAGAAAUUUCACAUCAGUAUCUCCAUCAAAUGGUGAGCAUAGUUAGCCAGGAGCCUACACUCUUCAACCGCUCCAUUGAAGAGAACAUUGCAUAUGGAUUGGAGGGCAAAGCGAGCUCCGCCGACGUGGAGAACGCAGCUAAAAUGGCGAACGCGCAUGACUUCAUAUGCGGCUUCCCGGACCAGUACAAGACGAUAGUCGGAGAGCGCGGCAUCAGGCUAUCCGGCGGGCAGAAGCAGCGGGUCGCCAUCGCGAGAGCUCUGCUGAUGAACCCGCGGGUGCUCCUCCUGGACGAAGCCACCAGCGCCCUGGACGCCGAGAGCGAGCACCUUGUCCAGGAUGCAAUGGACUCGUUGAUGAGAGGGAGGACGGUUCUCGUGAUAGCUCACCGGCUCUCCACCGUGAAGACCGCCGACACCGUCGCCGUCAUCUCCGAGGGGCAGAUCGUGGAGAGCGGCACGCACGACGAGCUCCUCGGCCGCGACGGCAUCUACACGGCCCUGGUGAAGAGGCAGCUGCAGUUGCCCAAGUUUGAAGGGACCGCCAACGGGACAGACGAAGUUGAACCUGUUGAUGGCCACUAG
This 1914-nucleotide ribosomal RNA is filed under the name Triticum aestivum (bread wheat). RNAcentral describes it as "partial small subunit ribosomal RNA". Lineage: Eukaryota; Viridiplantae; Streptophyta; Magnoliopsida; Poales; Poaceae. The record is from RNAcentral.